UGGGAAUUUGGACAAUGGCGAAGCAUGAUCCAGCAAAUGCCGCGUGUGUGAAGAAGGCCUUCGGGUUGUAAAGCACUUUUGUCCGGAAAGAAAUCCUUGGCUCUAAUACAGUCGGGGGAUGACGGUACCGGAAGAAUAAGCACCGGCUAACUACGUGCCAGCAGCCGCGGUAAUACGUAGGGUGCAAGCGUUAAUCGGAAUUACUGGGCGUAAAGCGUGCGCAGGCGGUUUGCUAAGACCGAUGUGAAAUCCCCGGGCUCAACCUGGGAACUGCAUUGGUGACUGGCAGGCUAGAGUAUGGCAGAGGGGGGUAGAAUUCCACGUGUAGCAGUGAAAUGCGUAGAGAUGUGGAGGAAUACCGAUGGCGAAGGCAGCCCCCUGGGCCAAUACUGACGCUCAUGCACGAAAGCGUGGGGAGCAAACAGGAUUAGAUACCCUGGUAGUCCACGCCCUAAACGAUGUCAACUAGUUGUUGGGGAUUCAUUUCCUUAGUAACGUAGCUAACGCGUGAAGUUGACCGCCUGGGGAGUACGGUCGCAAGAUUAAACUAAUGAAUUGACGGGGUCAUAGCUGUUUCCU
Molecule: ribosomal RNA, 579 nt
Filed under: uncultured bacterium
Lineage: Bacteria
Description: partial 16S ribosomal RNA
Rfam family: Bacterial small subunit ribosomal RNA
Source: RNAcentral